Pantherophis guttatus is the source of this 453-nucleotide non-coding RNA. The record is from RefSeq and is a predicted model, not a curated record. Lineage: Eukaryota; Metazoa; Chordata; Lepidosauria; Squamata; Colubridae.
CUUACGAAAUUUUAUGCGGGGAAAACAGGGAACAUAAUCCAAAAUCAUCCAAUGAUCAUCACAGAUGGAGGGGCACUGUGUGAUUCGGCUUCACUUAGUUUUGCUUCGAUCAACUCUCUUUGCAACUGCAGCACAAAGUCUUCACUGUGGUGGGAACUGCUCUUAUGCUACAGAGCAAGUAAAUCCAACAUCGGUGUUAACAGAAGGAAAGGAGAUAUCUUAAAAUGCAAAAUCAUGCACAUAAUAAAGCAGACAAAAAGACUUUUUUAAAAGCUGUAAUAUUAUAAACAGUAAAGUUUCUUUCGCUAAAAUAUUUCUCACCAGACCUACAGCAUCACAACAAAGACAAUGCUACUCCUUUCAAAAGUUUAAUAUUAUGUACACCUUCGUUUUCUUUCCACUGUAAUUUUUCCCUAAUCCAAACAUGUAAAUAAAUUGUUUCUAAAAGUUGAA